RNAcentral lists this ribosomal RNA (484 nucleotides) under uncultured Rubrivivax sp. RNAcentral's name for it is "bacterial SSU rRNA". It matches the Rfam family "Bacterial small subunit ribosomal RNA", at positions 8 to 489 of the family's 1533-position model. The record is from RNAcentral. Lineage: Bacteria; Pseudomonadati; Pseudomonadota; Betaproteobacteria; Burkholderiales; Sphaerotilaceae.
AGAGUUUGAUCCUGGCUCAGAUUGAACGCUGGCGGCAUGCCUUACACAUGCAAGUCGAACGGUAACGCGGGGCAACCUGGCGACGAGUGGCGAACGGGUGAGUAAUGCAUCGGAACGUGCCCAGUAGUGGGGGAUAGCUCGGCGAAAGCCGGAUUAAUACCGCAUACGACCUAAGGGUGAAAGCGGGGGACCGUAAGGCCUCGCGCUAUUGGAGCGGCCGAUGUCAGAUUAGGUUGUUGGUGGGGUAAAAGCCUACCAAGCCGACGAUCUGUAGCUGGUCUGAGAGGACGACCAGCCACACUGGGACUGAGACACGGCCCAGACUCCUACGGGAGGCAGCAGUGGGGAAUUUUGGACAAUGGGCGCAAGCCUGAUCCAGCCAUGCCGCGUGCGGGAAGAAGGCCUUCGGGUUGUAAACCGCUUUUGUCAGGGAAGAAACGCUCUGGGUUAAUACCCCGGGGUAAUGACGGUACCGAAGAAUAGA